Molecule: ribosomal RNA, 253 nt
Filed under: uncultured bacterium
Lineage: Bacteria
Description: partial 16S ribosomal RNA
Rfam family: Bacterial small subunit ribosomal RNA
Source: RNAcentral
UACGGGGGGAGCAAGCGUUGUUCGGAUUUACUGGGCGUAAAGGGCGCGUAGGCGGCGCAACAAGUCACUUGUGAAAUCUCCGGGCUUAACCCGGAGCGGCCAAGUGAUACUGUCGUGCUAGAGUGCGGAAGGGGCUACUGGAAUUCUCGGUGUAGCGGUGAAAUGCUUAGAUAUCGAGAGGAACACCUGCGGCGAAGGCGGGUAGCUGGGCCGACACUGACGCUGAUGCGCGAAAGCCAGGGGAGCGAACGGG